Molecule: long non-coding RNA, 352 nt
Organism: Apis dorsata (giant honeybee)
Lineage: Eukaryota; Metazoa; Arthropoda; Insecta; Hymenoptera; Apidae
Exons: 2
Source: RefSeq, a predicted model, not a curated record
UCGUGACAAAUGGACGAUUUAAACUUGGAGUGAAUCCAUUUUCGAUCUUGGAAUUAUACGUGAGGAGGGAAUUAAUUGGACGGUGAUGAUCGCGUUUCUCGCGGUAUUUAUCGCGGUGGUAAAUGCACGUUGACGUUCGCGUUAUCAUCGAUCGCGUAAAUUAAACGGAAAACGAAACUGGCUUUUGUCCGUAGCGGGAAGAAAUAUGAAAAUCGUGGGACGCGUGCAACGAUACGUAAAACCUCGACCCCUUCACACGCUUACAGACAGUCGGGAUAUAAAUCACGGGGAUUUACGAGCCCCGGUUAAAAAGGGUAACGCAAUAUUUAUAGUCAUCUCGCACAGUUACAUA